RNAcentral lists this small RNA (20 nucleotides) under Arabidopsis thaliana (thale cress). Its description in RNAcentral is "Ath_wt_05972". Lineage: Eukaryota; Viridiplantae; Streptophyta; Magnoliopsida; Brassicales; Brassicaceae. The record is from RNAcentral.
UAGGAUGGGUGACCUCCCGG